CUAAGACAGGUGCCAGCAAGUCGUCAAAAAAAUAGCUUAAGUGGGACAGGCCUUUAAGACUGAGGGAAUGUAUGGAGA
Long non-coding RNA from Amblyraja radiata (thorny skate), 78 nucleotides. RefSeq lists it as uncharacterized. The record is from RefSeq and is a predicted model, not a curated record. NCBI's taxonomy places the organism in Eukaryota, Metazoa, Chordata, Chondrichthyes, Rajiformes, Rajidae. The transcript has 3 exons.